Molecule: ribosomal RNA, 2061 nt
Filed under: Triticum aestivum (bread wheat)
Lineage: Eukaryota; Viridiplantae; Streptophyta; Magnoliopsida; Poales; Poaceae
Description: partial small subunit ribosomal RNA
Source: RNAcentral
UAGGGGUACGGGGUGACUAGGGCGCGGCGAGGCCGUAAGGCGGGAGCUAGUCGUGGCGGCGGGCUAGGUUAGGGGUUGAGUACCGCGAGUCGGAGUACGGGGGAAGUUCGUAACGGGAGGAGCGAGGUGCCCCAGCGCAGUCUCAGCCCAGUCGCCGCGACGGCGGCGGCCGCAGGUCCAAGGCGCGGCGCAGGAGAAGUUCUUCCGCGUCACCACCCUCCUCCUCCCCCGACCGGCAGCACCGCCGGAGCCUCCCUCCGGUCCUCCUCCUCCUUCUCCCAGGGCGUCGCCGCCGCCCCUCCUACUUGGAGUUGCUCAUGUACCAGCGGCAGCUGGCGGGCGAGCCGGAGGCGAAGCGCGAGCGGCAGCUGCCGGCGUAGAAGCACGUAAGAGAGUUCUCUCCCCCUUUACGCCUCUUCAGCGCUUAGUAUUACCAGCCCCUGUGAGAGUUCUUCCGUCCGUGACAGGUGUUACUCCCAGAACAGUCGUAUUUUCUGGAUCCACUGUGCCUCUACCAAGAUUUUGUUCUCAGUCCUGGUACGUUAGAACAGGAACUUUCCGGUCAACGCGGAAUAGGUUAUGUGGUCAACGUAUUUUUACUUCUAAUAGUAUAGGAUAAAUUGUCUCCCUCCCAAAGAGAAGGCUGGACCUUAUCACGAUAGAACAGGAGUUUCGACUUAUUUAGUAGAGGUCCUUUACCCUUUAGACCAAAACGAUAUAAAAGGGGUUCCGAUGAUUCAAGGGUUCCUACCCGCGAAAAUAGAUCACUCUUUCUACCUGAGUUAUCCUCCUCAUGCUUGGAACGUUUAACCUACUCACUCUAACAACCGAAAAUGAGACUACUCCUACUGUACCUACGACUUACCCGUGUACCAUCAAAAGGAAACCUCCUCAUGUAAUUUCGGGAUCUGGCACGAUUUCCACUUGACAUGAUAUUAGUAAGUGAACCAUACGUUAUGUCGUUCUAAUGACUCGUUUAUAUACAACCUAGUACGUAUGUUUGUGUCUUCCUACACUUCUACAAUAGUCUCUGCCCAUAAUGACGACAGGACUUAAAGGUUUCACUUUCACUCGCGUAAUUAACCCCUUAUUUAAGGCUCCGUUAGUUGUUAAGAACAGCAGUCUUGUUGUAGAACUACUAAUUGAUGGGAUAAGCUCUCCAACUAAGGUACCUGAACUCUUUCUUCGAAGGAAAAACACAACCAGAAGAAAACGCCGACUAUGCCUUCUUGAUGGCAUAUAUACACUGAACAUGGUGACCUAUACUAUCUAGUGGUCGUACACACUAACGCAUAGAUGUAACCCAAGUUCUAUGUGGAGAAGUAUAACGAGUGUUCAAGUAGUGACCCAACGUAAGUACAUCUGGACUGUCUCGACGUUAACAAACCCGUUGAACCCUAGAGUAACGUAAUCAACUUUGACCUUCUGUACUACCGUGAGGAUGUGUAAGUCACACGAAACAAACCUUGUUACCAGCCCUCCCACUACUACACCUUAACCACCCCCUAAAAUGUUCAUUGACCUUUCUGUUUAAUUUCACGUUGGUGUUCCCACCUAGGUCUAUACUUCGACUCCAAGCUGAAGCUGUACCCUUCAUGAUGAUGUUCAAGUAUCAACCCCCAUUGACCUCCGUGAGCUCAAGCAACGGCAGUCUCUGUCUACUUGUACCCUUGCAGUUGUUACACUAGUCUCAGCCACUGUAGCGGGCCUAAGCAGGACGAGGGUCGGUUAACGUCUAUUUCCUAGGUAGACAACAAUUCCACUAUCUCUCCUGUGACUGGCUCCUACUCGCCAAAAGCGACCGGAAACGCCGUGCGGAGUACCGUAAACGUUAGACGGGUUAGUCUAACCGAGGCUUCGUCAUCCGUACGGUCAUCAAGGGUUGGGUUGGGUUGGGGCCGGCCUCCUAGCCGCUAAGACAUCAAAUGUAUUUGGAGUACUUGUCUCUCGUUAGAUAGACAUGGCAUACGAGCAACUUUAGUUACCAACCCGUGUUAUAUAUAUAUAUGUAUAUAGAACAUCAAGAUACUCGACAUGGACUUUACUUGAAAAUGAGACCCA